GUUUGUGGGGCUGGAUCCCACUGGGCAGGACAUCUGCCUAUACCCUGGAAUAAGAAUAUACAGUCUCUUCUAGCACUGACAGUUGUCUCUUUAUGUCGGAUGAGCUAACAGCAGCCACUCCCAUACUGUCGGAUCCUGCUUCCCUUGCCAUAGCUGAUUAACCCAGGGUAAGACACUGGGAAUUGGAAACUUGGAGUGGAAAGACUCUGAUCAUAGUGGUCUCUGGAGCCAAAUCCCAUUCCAUGGCAAUGUUCUGGAAGGUGGAUGAUAAGAGACAGCAGCCGGCAGAAGGAAAGCAGUGAUCUGAACACCUAACGGGAAUCCUAAACAGUGGAGAAAGGAGAGCAAACAUUAAAAACUCAUGGAUAGAAAAAAAGAGGAAAAGAAAACCAUUUGGAAGUGUUCAUUGAGUUGAUGCACUGGAUAAUUUAAUAAGCUGUCUGUUCUGAUCCGUCUUGCUUCCCUGCUUUUAGCAGGGUGCCAUAUGAAAGCUCCUACAUGGAUGAACAUUCAUCCCAUCCGUACCACUUACUGGCC
Homo sapiens (human) is the source of this 537-nucleotide long non-coding RNA. Ensembl annotates it as long intergenic non-protein coding RNA 1861. Lineage: Eukaryota; Metazoa; Chordata; Mammalia; Primates; Hominidae. The record is from Ensembl.